Molecule: ribosomal RNA, 376 nt
Filed under: uncultured Serratia sp.
Lineage: Bacteria; Pseudomonadati; Pseudomonadota; Gammaproteobacteria; Enterobacterales; Yersiniaceae
Description: bacterial SSU rRNA
Rfam family: Bacterial small subunit ribosomal RNA
Source: RNAcentral
UAAUACGGAGGGUGCAAGCGUUAAUCGGAAUUACUGGGCGUAAAGCGCACGCAGGCGGUUUGUUAAGUCAGAUGUGAAAUCCCCGGGCUCAACCUGGGAACUGCAUUUGAAACUGGCAAGCUAGAGUCUCGUAGAGGGGGGUAGAAUUCCAGGUGUAGCGGUGAAAUGCGUAGAGAUCUGGAGGAAUACCGGUGGCGAAGGCGGCCCCCUGGACGAAGACUGACGCUCAGGUGCGAAAGCGUGGGGAGCAAACAGGAUUAGAUACCCUGGUAGUCCACGCUGUAAACGAUGUCAAUUUGGAGGUUGUGCCCUUGAGGCGUGGCUUCCGGAGCUAACGCGUUAAAUCGACCGCCUGGGGAGUACGGCCGCAAGGUUA